AGACAGAGGGUGCAAACGUUGUUCGGAAUUACUGGGCGUAAAGCGCGUGUAGGCUGUUACGCAAGUCGGGUGUGAAAGCCCUGGGCUCAACCCAGGAAGUGCACUCGAAACUGCGUUGACUUGAAUCUCGGAGAGGGUGGCGGAAUUCUGGGUGUAGAGGUGAAAUUCGUAGAUAUCCAGAGGAACACCGGUGGCGAAGGCGGCCACCUGGACGAGUAUUGACGCUGAGACGCGAAAGCAUGGGGAGCAAACAGGAUUAGGUACCCCAGUAGUCC
Molecule: ribosomal RNA, 275 nt
Filed under: uncultured bacterium
Lineage: Bacteria
Description: partial 16S ribosomal RNA
Rfam family: Bacterial small subunit ribosomal RNA
Source: RNAcentral